Molecule: long non-coding RNA, 620 nt
Organism: Aedes aegypti (yellow fever mosquito)
Lineage: Eukaryota; Metazoa; Arthropoda; Insecta; Diptera; Culicidae
Exons: 4
Source: RefSeq, a predicted model, not a curated record
AUCAGCAGAGCUAUUCAUUCGUUUCUCCACCGCCGCCAUCAUCGAAUGGUAAAAGCCCGCGUGUGUCAGUUUAUUUAAUAAAAAGUGCAGCAAAAGUUGUUGGAGCCCGUUUUCCAACCACCAGCAAGCGGAGUAGGUUAUCGGAACCAAUCGGGAAGAGCCAGAAUCGACCGAUUGCGGCUGGGAAGCACCCAACAUCCGCAGCAAGCCGAUACGAUACAGGACCCAAUAACGGGCCAGGGAAGCGCAGCCGGUUUUCAAUCCAACCCGUCUGUCGAAGGCCACCCACGCAACACGCACGGUGUCAGUAGGUCCCAAAGCUAAGGCACACGAGAGGCACACGAUCGACAUAACCUCAAACCGUGCACGUGCUGAUUGGCCCUUGUACGGCUAGAAGGUCACGAGGCACGCAACCAAUCCCGGAAGUAGGCGUGGGACGACGAGCUUCUUCCAAAGGACGAGUGACGCAAUAGCCACCGGCGAAUCAUCCAAGCUACUGAGACUAGCGAGACACGAGCCAACAAAAGCCCCGAACGGCUCCAACUGGUCGUCCGGCAGGCACAUCACAUGGAACGGGCCUGGCGUAGUGGUUAGAAAUCACGCCUCUCACAACGAGGACC